RNAcentral lists this ribosomal RNA (112 nucleotides) under Arthrobacter terricola. RNAcentral describes it as "Arthrobacter sp. JH1-1 partial 16S ribosomal RNA". It matches the Rfam family "Bacterial small subunit ribosomal RNA", at positions 1 to 110 of the family's 1533-position model. The record is from RNAcentral. Lineage: Bacteria; Bacillati; Actinomycetota; Actinomycetes; Micrococcales; Micrococcaceae.
UUUGACGGAGAGUUUGAUCCUGGCUCAGGAUGAACGCUGGCGGCGUGCUUAACACAUGCAAGUCGAACGAUGAGACGGUGCUUGCACCGUGGAUUAGUGGCGAACGGGUGAG